Molecule: ribosomal RNA, 254 nt
Filed under: uncultured bacterium
Lineage: Bacteria
Description: partial 16S ribosomal RNA
Rfam family: Bacterial small subunit ribosomal RNA
Source: RNAcentral
UACGUAGGGUGCGAGCGUUAAUCGGAAUUACUGGGCGUAAAGCGUGCGUAGGCGGUUUUACAAGCUUGAUGUGAAAGCCCCGGGCUUAACCUGGGAAUGGCAUUGAGGACUGUGUGGCUUGAGUGCGGCAGAGGGAGGUGGAAUUCCACGUGUAGCAGUGAAAUGCGUAGAGAUGUGGAGGAACCCCGAUGGCGAAGGCAGCCUCCUGGGCCGACACUGACGCUGAGGGCACGAAAGCGUGGGGAGCAAACAGG